AAAGAAGAGAGCAAGUUUAGAUUAGAUAUAUAGAGUCCUUAAUAAGACACCCAAAUGUAAUACUAAGGCUAGGAUCCAAUCACAAUAUAUUAUACUUAGAAGAGGGAUGUCGUAAUCUAAGUGAUAACAUAUUUGAAAGGUAGGUGAAUGACGAUUCACCAAUUUCGACCAUGAAAAACGAAAUGAGUUAUUAGGUUUUAAUUGGAUUUGAAAUUCCUAGAUUCUUUUGAGAUUCAUUGAACUUUUCAAUGGCAUGUUUCAAUCUCGAUUGUGGCAUUCAAGUUUUGUUAUUGGGAUGCCGAGGAUCACAAAACAAGGUGUGAAUAACCAUGCUAAUUCACUUGGUACCCCUAAUAUUAUCACCUAAUCAAUGUGCCGGUUAACCACACACGCUCCAUUGAUCUAUGACAACAUUAAGUUACCCUUCGUGAUCCUUACUAGUCUAAUUAGUGUGCCGGUUAACCACACACGCUCCACUAACGACUUGGUAAGGUACAAAGUGUGAAUUCCAUGGAUUAGCACCAUGUUCACAUUUUCCUAAAAUAACUAAGAUUGGGAAUUAAAAGAGUUUAGUUAUUUUAUAAUAUUCAUUAUACUUUUAAUGAGGAUUUAAAGUCGUUGUUCUACCCGUUCGGCUAACGACCCUCCACCGAUCAAGCAAGCGGUGGGUGAGAGUAUACACCCAUUAAGUCGCCAUUUUAUAGGCAACAACCUUAUACCCACCUUAUAGACCGGCUUCGUGAAUGAGGCCUACUAACGGUAAAACGACUUAUUCUUAUACAUAUAUAUAAUAAUUAACCAUUAAUGUUCUAAAUAGUAUAAGUGUUGAAUUUUAACUAUUAAAACUCUACAGGUUGGAAUUAAAGUUUAUUAAAGUGUGUGAAACUUUACAAAUUCCAAAACUUGAGGGCAAGUUUUGUAACUAUCCAAAACUUUUCAUUUCAUAACUUAUGAAUUAAAGGUUUAUAAAAAUGAAGACUCUUCAUUUUUAUGUAACUUAUGUGUUUUAAAUGUGUGUUUAAAAGAGGUAACCUUUGGAUGUCCAUAACUUGAGGAAAAAUUUUGGACUCCAUUAAAACACAUAAAUGAUCAAGAAUUAAUCCUAAACAAUUCAGCAAAUAAUUCCUAUCAUCUUCUAAAUUCAUAAGAACAUGAACAUGAUCAUCAAAGUUUCAAGAAUUAUAUGAACACAUACAAAGCAUGAAAUUUUGAUAUAAGCUAUUGUAAAUGGAUUAGAACAACCAUUACACCAACUAAAACAAGUUUUAAAACACCAAAACAGUUUAGGGUAAUGUUUCUAGUCCUUUUCCAGCAGCCAAAGUCGAAAAUCUGAAUUCUAAGGCUUCUACUUGCCGAGUGCACGAACCUACUCGACGAGUAAGAUGAAUUUGGUCAUGGAAUCGGCGAGUCCCCCCAUGGACUCGGCUAGUUCAUCAUGCAAACAGCAAGAAAAUCGAAUUUUUUCACUAUUUUGCAUCAAGUAUCAAACAAACAAGCCUAGGCUCUGAUACCACUGUUGGGUUUUGAGCAUUCUAACACUUCCUAAGUGUACAUGCAACCCUAAUAAAUCUUGGAUCUAUGUUUGUCUAAGGUACAUGCAAAAUAUUAUUUUCCAAGGUUUAUAACCUAUCUAGCAUGGCAUGGGGUACUUUUAAACAUAAAAGAACUAGAUGAAUUACAUACCUUUUGUUGAUUGUUGAUUCCUUAGAGUUUGAGAGCCAAGCACCAAUAAUGUGAAUGCCUCAAAUGGAAAUCACAAAUCACCACAAACUUGGAAAAUAUAUGAGAGAGUAUACUAACUCUUAGAAAUCGGCCACCACUAUUACACACACACUAGAGGUGUUUUUCAUGCAACAUAAGCUUGUUUAUAUAUUGUUCAUGGUUAGGGUGAAACCCUAAUAACCCAUGUCUUUUCCUCUUCCAAGGAUCCAUGGGUUAAAGCUCCAUGGAUCAUCCAUGGACUUCCAUAUAAGCUUAGCCCAUUCCCAAAUGAGUGUUAGCCCACACCAUAUAAAUAUAAUAGCCCAUGAUUUAAUUAGUCUUCAUUUUAAUCACUAAAUUAAUUCAUAAUUAAUUCAAGAUUAAAACUAAUUAAAUAAUAUGACUUUAUAUUAAUAUAUUAUAACUUAUAAUAUAUUAAUAAAUCGUAAGUAUACAAUUCUCAUAAAAUUAUCCAUAAAUAGUUUGGGUGAAGUGCAACCCAAAUGGACCAUGCCGGGUCGGGUCAAGUAUAUACCAAAUAAGUUAUGGACUUAGACACCUUAUCCAACAGACUCCCACUUGGAUAAGUCUAAUAACUAUAUUUGCCUAUAACUUCAGGAACCAACCAACAAUCGUAGCUCUCGAAAACUCCCUCGAACAAUGAAGACUCUGUCGAACUAUGAAGCGCCAUUUUAGAUAAGUGAUCACAUAAUCCUCUGUUCUCAUGAUAUCAGCCGGACAAACACAUGGAACUAUGUCUUGCUUAUUGUCUAGCAGUUGUUUCUCGAUUAUCCGAUUUGUUUGACGAAGAACUUCACUGAACACAUCGGUUUAGUUCUGACCAGGCCUGGUAUAUGGGUCAACACAAAAUCAUCGAGGGGCCCGGAUAUCGCUUCUAUUUCUAGAAGGAACAGAUAAACUUCGACUGAUAUGCUUGUUCUACUACUUAUUGAAUUGUACACAAAGGCACGUUUUAUAACAUCAAGUUACUGAUGCGUUUACGUGCAAUCAAUGCACAACCAACUCAUAGGUAACAACUCAUAUCUCUAGGUUUAAAGAUUUAUAUGAUGUUAUCGUCUCACGAUCACUCGAGAUAAAUUCCAUGAAGUGAUACAAGUGAGCGUGGGUUUAUACCAAUACUCAUAACUUAUGAGUACUCAUGAAUGUUGCAGCAACCAUUGCCAUGCCUAAACACCUUUAAGGCAUCUACAAACCCAAUUCAUGACAAUCUUGAUUCAUACCUACUUCCGACGUAUGAUCGAUUGUGGAGGUUUGAACAAAUUAAUUAUUCUGGAAGUCAAAACAUGCAAAACUGAAACAAUAGUAAAUAAUUGACAAUGAUAGUAACACUUUACUCAUAAAUAAAUCACAAAUUUUAUUCAUCAUCAAACGUCGAUUACAUUUUACAAGUUUCAGGAAAACUAUCUAAUCUGUAAAACUAAUAUCGUCCCUCAGCCCGAUGCGUCUCGCAUGCUGAAAAUGCUUAACCCUCGUCAGUCCCUUCGUAAGGGGAUCUGCAGGAUUCUCAUCUGACGAUAUCCUCCUUGUCACAAGGAGUCCUUCUUCAAUCUUGUGCCUUAUGAAGUGAUAUUUUCUGUCAAUGUGUCGGGAUCUGCCAUGAUCUCUUGGUUCCUUGGCUAAGAUAACCGCAGCAUUGUUGUCACAGAAAAUUUCUAUAGGUUCCUUAAUAGCUGGUACAACUCCAAGGUCUCCGAUGAAGUUCUUUAGCCAUAUCGCCUCCUUCGCUGCUUCACUCGCUGCUAUAUACUCUGAUUCACAAGUCGAAUCAGCCACCGUCUCCUGCUUGGAACUCUUCCAAGAGAUUGCCCCUCCAUUUAGGGUAAAGAACCAGCUCGAAUGAGAGCGGAAGUUAUCCCUUUUUGUCUGAAAACUAGCAUCACUAUACCCUAACACUCUCAAGUCAUCACUCCCACCAAGGGUAAGAAUCCAAUUCUUAGUCCUUCGUAGGUACUUGAGAAUGUUCUUUACCACAGUCCAAUGAGCCUUGCCAGGGUUCUCCUGAUAUCUGCUAACCAUGCUCAAAGCAAAGGCCACAUCAGGGCGGGUACAAGUCAUAACAUACAUGAUCGAGCCCACAGCGGAAGCAUACAGUAAUCGACUCAUUUAUUCUAUCUCGGCCUCUGUACUCGGACUCUGAGUCUUACUCAGUUUGGCAUUGCUUUGGAUCGGUAAAUCUCCUUUCUUGGAAUUCUACAUGUUGAAUCUUUUCAACACCUUAUCCAAGUAGGUACUCUAACAAAGUCCAAUUAGUCUUUUACUCCUUUCUCUUAAUAUCCUUAUCCCUAGGAUAUAGGCAGCUUCCCCUAGGUCCUUCAUAGCAAAGCACUUCCCAAGCCAAGACUUAACCUCCUGGAAGGUUGGGAUGUCAUUUCCUAUAAGUAGUAUGUCAUCUACAUAUAGUACCAAGAAGCUAACUAUACUCCCACUAGCUCUGACAUACAUGCAAGACUCAUCUUCAUUUCUCGAGAAGCCAAACUCUUUGACCUUCUCAUCGAAACAAAGAUUCCAGCUACGAGAUGCUUGUUUUAAUCCAUAAAUGGAUUUCUCAAAAUUGCACCCUCUAUUAGGGUAUUCUGCACUGACAAAACCCUCUAGCUGAUUGAUGUACACGUCCUCAGCCAACUUUCCAUUAAGAAAAGCGGUUUUGACAUCCAUUUUCCAUAUUUCAUAAUCAUGAAAUGCAACAAUGGCUAGCAUAACCCUAAUAGACUUAAUCUUUGCUACCGGUGAGAAGUUUUCAUCAUAAUCAAUACCCUGAGUCUGAGUAAAACCCUUCACAACCCGUCGAGCCUUAUAAGUGUGCAUUUUUCCUUCCAUGUCGGUAUUCUUCUUGAAGAUCCAUUUGCACCCGACUGUUUUAUGGCCUGGUACAUUGUCAACCAAGUUUCAAACUUGAUUUCCAUACAUGGACUGUAUCUCGCUGUCCAUAGCCUCCUUCCAUUUAGCAGACUCCUGGCCUGCCAUGGCUUCCUUAACACUGCUAGGUUCAUCCAAAUUUACCAGUGUACUAUCGCUGAUAAACGUAUCACCUUCCGUAGUAAUAUGAAAGCCAUAAUAAAACGAAGGUGUGUUCCUAACCCGUGUGGAACGCCUCGGAGGUACAGACUUGUCAGCUUGCUCAACAGGAGUUUCCUCCUCAGGUUGAUUGCUAGUGUCUGAGGUUCCUUCACCAAUUGCUUCUUGAAUUUCUUCAAGAUCAAUUUGCCUCCCACUGUCUCCUUGGCUUAUAAAUUCUCUCUCACGAAAGACCCCUCUUCUUGCUACAAAGACCACAUUCUCACUGGGUCUGUAGAAGAGGUAACCGAAGGAUUUCUGUGGGUAGCCGAUGAAAAUACACCUUUCACUUCGGGGUUCGAGCUUAUCAUGAGUCUCACGCCUCACGAAAGCCUCGCAACCCCAAAUCUUGAUGUGGUCCAAAUUGGGAACCUUCCCAGUCCACAUCUCAUGAGGUGUUUUGGUAACCUUCUUUGUAGGGACUAGAUUAAGGAUAUGGGCGGCAGUCUCUAAGGCAUACCCCCAAAAAGAGAUUGGUAGCGAAGCUCGACUCAUCAUAGAGCGAACCAUGUCUAACAAGGUUCGAUUACGCCUCUCAGCUACACCAUUUAGCUGUGGUGUCCUGGGAGGAGUCAAUUGUGAGACAAUCCCACACUCCUUAAGAUAGUCAAGGAACUCGGUACUAAGAUACUCACCACCUCGAUCGGAUCGAAGCAUCUUAAUGUUCCUGCCCAAUUGAUUUUCUACUUCCUGUUUGAAUUCCUUAAACCUUUCAAAGGUUUCGGACUUAUGUUUGAUUAAGUAGACAUACCCAUAUCUACUAAAAUCAUCAAUAAAAGUCACAUAAUACCGAUUAGCAUCCCUUGUGGCGGUUUUGAAUGGCCCACAUACAUCAGUAUGUAUUAGGUCCAACAAACCCUCACCCCUCUCACAAGUUCCAGUGAAGGGUGAUUUUGUCAUUUUUCCAAGUAGACAAGAUUCACAACUAUCAUCCGAUUUAAGGUCGAAUGACUCCAAGACUCCACUCUUUUGGAGUUGGCCUAUGCGUUUCUUGUUUACAUGUCCAAGACGACAAUGCCACAAUGAUGCUUUAUCUAGGCUAGUAGAAGAAUCAAUAUACAACACAUUAUUUCCUAAGUUGUCUACAAUCGACACAGUUUCAUACACACCAUCACAAGGUAAUGCUUUAAAAUAAAACACAUUUUUAAAGAAAGCAUUAAUACCACCACAUUCAUUAUCAAACGAAAAGGUAAAACCUUGUUUGUACAAAGCAUGAAAAGAAAUAAUAUUCCUCGCCAUUUCAGACGAGUAUACACAUUUAUUCAAAUCUAAUUUUAACCCAUUAUUAAGCAACAAAGUAUAAACUCCAAUCUUGGAAACAGGUGAAGCCUUCCUAUUCCCCAUGAUUAAGUUUAUCUUCCCGUGCUCCACAUCCUCACUUCUUCUUAGGCCCUGCAAAUCAGAACAUAUGUGAAUACCACAUCCUGUAUCAAGCACCCAAGAGUUAGAAUAUGUUGAGUAAUUAGACAAUAUAGUGUAAAUACCUGCAUAGGUGGGUUUCACUUUCCCAUCCUUUAGAUCCUGCAAGUACUUAGGGCAGUUUCGCUUCCAGUGUGCCUUUUCAUGGCAAUAAAAGCAUUCAGCAUCCUUUGGAAUGGCAGAAGGAGUGACAGAACCGUUCUUAGUCUUGGAUGAGGAGCCUUCAAGAGACUUUCCCUUGGUACCCUUCGAAGGGUGCUUCCUCUUUUUCCCUUUGCCUUGCCCAAUAGCUAAAACAGGGGUAGAAGUUGGAGUAGGAGUAGUAGAGGUAACAACCGCUUUACCCUUAAGACCGGUUUCAGCGGUCUUCAAGAGUCCUUGAAGCUUGCUGAGGGUAACUUCCUCCUUGUUCAUAUGAUAUGUCAUUCGAAAAUGAUCAUAACAAGAAGGCAAGGAGUGCAAAAUGAUGUCAAUUGCUAACUCCUCGGGGAUGUUAACAUUCAGCUUCAGCAAACGGUCCACAUACCUUUGCAUCUUUUGCAUGUGGCCCGUGACGGAUUCACCGUCCUUCAUGCGGGUAGUUAUUAUGGAGGAGAUUAUUUCAUACCGCUCCUGACGAGCACUCUGAUGGUACCUUUCCAUCAAGUCUUGGUGCAUCUCAAAAGGGUAGAAAUCUUCAUAUGACUUUUGGAGCUCGGCUGUCAUCGUGGCCAUCAUGAUACAUGCCACCUUAGUAGCAUCUCUCUCAUGAGUCCUGAAUUCAGCGAUCUCCUCAGGAGUAGCAGUAGACUCAUCAAGUUCUUUUAACUCCUUAUCGAGGACAUAUUCCUUGUCCUCGUAACGAGUAACCAUCCUGAUGUUCCUAAUCCAAUCCAUGAAGUUGGAACCAUCAAAGAUGACCCUCCCACAAAGAUUCAUGAGAGAGAAAGAACCAGUUGGGUUAGAGCCUGAAGCAUUAGUGUUGGAAGACAUCUGAAAGAAGAAAGUAAGUUUAGAUUAGAUAUUUAGGAUCCUUAAUAAGACACCCAAAUGUAAUAUUAAGGCUAGGAUCCAAUCACAAUAUAUUACACUUAGAAGAGGGAUGCCGUAAUCUAAGUAAUAAUAUAUUUGAAAGGUAGGCGAAUGACGAUUCACCAAUUUCCACCAUGAAAACGAAAUGAUUAAUUAGGUUUAAUUGGAUUUGAAAUUCCUAGAUUCUUUUGAGAUUCAUUGAACUUUUCAAUGGCAUGUUUCAAUCUCGAUUGUGCCCUUCAAGUUUUGUGACUGGGAUGCCGAGGAUCACAAAACAAGGUGUGAAUAACCAUGCUAACUCACUUGGUACUCCUAAUAUUAUCACCUAAUCAAUGUGCCGGUUAACCACACACGCUCCAUUGAUCUAUGAC
This 7577-nucleotide long non-coding RNA is filed under the name Lactuca sativa (garden lettuce). Its description in RNAcentral is "long non-coding RNA (LSAT_LNC002976)". The record is from RNAcentral. Lineage: Eukaryota; Viridiplantae; Streptophyta; Magnoliopsida; Asterales; Asteraceae.